RNAcentral lists this ribosomal RNA (434 nucleotides) under uncultured Lachnospiraceae bacterium. RNAcentral describes it as "bacterial SSU rRNA". It matches the Rfam family "Bacterial small subunit ribosomal RNA", at positions 341 to 792 of the family's 1533-position model. Lineage: Bacteria; Bacillati; Bacillota; Clostridia; Lachnospirales; Lachnospiraceae. The record is from RNAcentral.
ACGGGAGGCAGCAGUGGGGGAUAUUGCACAAUGGGGGAAACCCUGAUGCAGCGACGCCGCGUGAGUGAUGAAGUAUUUCGGUAUGUAAAGCUCUAUCAGCAGGGAAGAAAAUGACGGUACCUGACUAAGAAGCCCCGGCUAACUACGUGCCAGCAGCCGCGGUAAUACGUAGGGGGCAAGCGUUAUCCGGAUUUACUGGGUGUAAAGGGAGCGUAGACGGUAUGGCAAGUCUGAUGUGAAAACCCAGGGCUAAACCCUGGGACUGCAUUGGAAACUGUCAAACUAGAGUGCAGGAGAGGUAAGUGGAAUUCCUAGUGUAGCGGUGAAAUGCGUAGAUAUUAGGAGGAACACCAGUGGCGAAGGCGGCUUACUGGACUGUAACUGACGUUGAGGCUCGAAAGCGUGGGGAGCAAACAGGAUUAGAUACCCUGGUA